This 304-nucleotide ribosomal RNA is filed under the name uncultured Acetobacteraceae bacterium. RNAcentral describes it as "bacterial SSU rRNA". It matches the Rfam family "Bacterial small subunit ribosomal RNA", at positions 20 to 347 of the family's 1533-position model. Lineage: Bacteria; Pseudomonadati; Pseudomonadota; Alphaproteobacteria; Acetobacterales; Acetobacteraceae. The record is from RNAcentral.
UGGCUCAGAACGAACGCUGGCGGCAUGCUUAACACAUGCAGGUCGCACGGGCAGCUUCGGCUGUCAGUGGCGGACGGGUGAGUAACGCGUAGGUAUCUAUCCUUGGGUGGGGGACAACCGUGGGAAACUACGGCUAAUACCGCAUGACGACUGAGGUCCAAAGGCGCAAGUCGCCUGGGGAGGAGCCUGCGUCCGAUUAGCUUGUUGGUGGGGUAAUGGCCUGGCAAAGCUCCGAUCGGUAGCUGGUCUGAGAGGAUAAUCAGCCACAUUUUUCUCUGAGACACGGACCAGACUCUNACGGGAG